CUACGGGACGCUGCAGUGGGGAAUAUUGGACAAUGGGGGAAACCCUGAUCCAGCAAUGCCGCGUGUGUGAAGAAGGCCUGCGGGUUGUAAAGCACUUUCGGUUGGGAGGACUGCUUCUAGCACUAAUAUUGUUGGAAGUUGACGUUACCUUCAGAAGAAGCACCGGCUACCUCCGUGCCAGCAGCCGCGGUAAUACGGAGGGUGCAAGCGUUAAUCGGAAUUACUGGGCGUAAAGCGCGCGUAGGCGGCUAGAUCAGUCGGGUGUGAAAGCCCCGGGCUUAACCUGGGAACUGCAUCCGAUACUGUCUAGCUUGAGUACAGGAGAGGAGAGUGGAAUUCCACAUGUAGCGGUGAAAUGCGUAGAUAUGUGGAGGAACACCAAUGGCGAAGGCAGCUCUCUGGCCUGAUACUGACGCUGAGGUGCGAAAGCGUGGGGAUCAAACAGGAUUAGAUACCCCGGUAGUC
This 465-nucleotide ribosomal RNA is filed under the name uncultured bacterium. RNAcentral describes it as "partial 16S ribosomal RNA". It matches the Rfam family "Bacterial small subunit ribosomal RNA", at positions 339 to 795 of the family's 1533-position model. The record is from RNAcentral.